Molecule: ribosomal RNA, 660 nt
Filed under: uncultured bacterium
Lineage: Bacteria
Description: bacterial SSU rRNA
Rfam family: Bacterial small subunit ribosomal RNA
Source: RNAcentral
AGUGGCGGACGGGUGAGUAACGCGUGAGAAUCUGCCUUGGGGUCGGGGACAACCACUGGAAACGGUGGCUAAUACCGGAUAAGCCGAUUGGUGAAAGAUUUAUUGCCCGAAGAGGAGCUCGCGUCUGAUUAGCUAGUUGGUGAGGUAAGAGCUCACCAGGGCAGCGAUCAGUAGCUGGUCUGAGAGGACGAUCAGCCACACUGGGACUGAGACACGGCCCAGACUCCUACGGGAGGCAGCAGUGGGGAAUUUUCCGCAAUGGGCGAAAGCCUGACGGAGCAAGACCGCGUGAGGGAGGAAGGCUCUUGGGUUGUAAACCUCUUUUCUCAGGGAAGAAGCUCUGACGGUACCUGAGGAAUCAGCCUCGGCUAACUCCGUGCCAGCAGCCGCGGUAAUACGGAGGAGGCAAGCGUUAUCCGGAAUUAUUGGGCGUAAAGCGUCCGCAGGUGGCGAUUCAAGUCUGCUGUCAAAGCACGGGGCUUAACUCCGUAAAGGCAGUGGAAACUGAAUAGCUAGAGUGCCGUAGGGGUAGAGGGAAUUCCCGGUGUAGCGGUGAAAUGCGUAGAGAUCGGGAAGAACAUCGGUGGCGAAAGCGCUCUACUGGACGGCAACUGACACUCAGGGACGAAAGCUAGGGGAGCGAAUGGGAUUAGAUACCCC